RNAcentral lists this ribosomal RNA (484 nucleotides) under uncultured bacterium. Its description in RNAcentral is "partial 16S ribosomal RNA". It matches the Rfam family "Bacterial small subunit ribosomal RNA", at positions 29 to 507 of the family's 1533-position model. The record is from RNAcentral.
AUUGAACGCUGGCGGCAGGCCUAACACAUGCAAGUCGAGCGGAUGAAGGGAGCUUGCUCCUGGAUUCAGCGGCGGACGGGUGAGUAAUGCCUAGGAAUCUGCCUGGUAGUGGGGGAUAACGUCCGGAAACGGGCGCUAAUACCGCAUACGUCCUGAGGGAGAAAGUGGGGGAUCUUCGGACCUCACGCUAUCAGAUGAGCCUAGGUCGGAUUAGCUAGUUGGUGGGGUAAAGGCCUACCAAGGCGACGAUCCGUAACUGGUCUGAGAGGAUGAUCAGUCACACUGGAACUGAGACACGGUCCAGACUCCUACGGGAGGCAGCAGGAGGGAAUAUUGGACAAUGGGCGAAAGCAUGACGGAGCAAUGCCGCGUGAGGGAAGAAGGUCUUCGGAUCGUAAAGCUCUGUUAUUAGGAAAGAAAAAAAGUGGAAGAAAAGAUGGACGGCUUGACGGUACCUAAACAACAAGCAACGGCUAACUACGUG